This 402-nucleotide ribosomal RNA is filed under the name uncultured bacterium. RNAcentral's name for it is "bacterial SSU rRNA". It matches the Rfam family "Bacterial small subunit ribosomal RNA", at positions 355 to 774 of the family's 1533-position model. The record is from RNAcentral.
UGGGGAAUAUUGGACAAUGGGCAAAAGCCUGAUCCAGCCAUGCCGCAUGAGUGAAGAAGGCCUUUGGGUUGUAAAGCUCUUUUAGUGAGGAAGAUAAUGACGGUACUCACAGAAGAAGUCCUGGCUAACUCCGUGCCAGCAGCCGCGGUAAUACGGAGAGGGCUAGCGUUAUUCGGAAUUAUUGGGCGUAAAGGGCGCGUAGGCUGGUUAGUAAGUUAAAAGUGAAAUCCCGAGGCUUAACCUUGGAACUGCUUUUAAAACUGCUAACCUAGAGAUUGAAAGAGGAUAGAGGAAUUCCUAGUGUAGAGGUGAAAUUCGUAAAUAUUAGGAGGAACACCAGUGGCGAAGGCGUCUAUCUGGUUCAAAUCUGACGCUGAGGCGCGAAGGCGUGGGGAGCAAACA